GGAUCAAUUUAUUGGUCGUGCUAUUGUACGUACUGGUAUUAUUGAUUCCUACCUUCUGACGAACCAUGAUGUCAUUAAUUUGGUGUCAUGGGGAAUCAGGACUGUUACUUUGAAAAAAUUAGAGUGUUUAAAGCAGGCAUACGCUUGAAUACAUUAGCAUGGAAUAAUAGAAUAGGACUU
Molecule: ribosomal RNA, 180 nt
Filed under: uncultured Glomeromycotina
Lineage: Eukaryota; Fungi; Glomeromycota
Description: partial small subunit ribosomal RNA
Rfam family: Eukaryotic small subunit ribosomal RNA
Source: RNAcentral